GGGCAAGUAGCUCAGCUAGUAGAGCGUGCGCGUACAAAGCGUAGACAGCGUCCAUGCGUGGGUUUGAAUCCCACCAAGGCUA
RNAcentral lists this transfer RNA (82 nucleotides) under Echinostoma caproni. It matches the Rfam family "tRNA". Rfam says of the family: Transfer RNA (tRNA) molecules are approximately 80 nucleotides in length. Their secondary structure includes four short double-helical elements and three loops (D, anti-codon, and T loops). Lineage: Eukaryota; Metazoa; Platyhelminthes; Trematoda; Plagiorchiida; Echinostomatidae. The record is from Rfam by way of RNAcentral.